Molecule: non-coding RNA, 24 nt
Filed under: Arabidopsis thaliana (thale cress)
Lineage: Eukaryota; Viridiplantae; Streptophyta; Magnoliopsida; Brassicales; Brassicaceae
Source: RNAcentral
ACCAAAUGGAUCGUUUGUAGCCUA